Molecule: ribosomal RNA, 319 nt
Filed under: Hermannobates monstruosus
Lineage: Eukaryota; Metazoa; Arthropoda; Arachnida; Sarcoptiformes; Hermanniellidae
Description: eukaryotic LSU rRNA
Rfam family: Eukaryotic large subunit ribosomal RNA
Source: RNAcentral
CCAAGGAGUCUAACAUGUGCGCGAGUCACUCGGUCUUGAAUAGGCCAGAGAGGCACAAUGAAAGUAAAGUUGAUUGAGUUACGAUCCUCAUGUCGGUUACUCCUUCAGUGGGGUAACGGUGAGGCGCAGUAACAGCCCGCCAAUUUCGCUUAUUGACGAUCUGGCGGAGUUGUAGCGUACACGUUGGUACCCGAAAGAUGGUGAACUAUGCCUGGGCAAGACGAAGUCAGAGGAAACUCUGGUGGAGGUCUGUAGCAAUUCUGACGUGCAAAUCGAUUGUCAGACCUGGGUAUAGGGGCGAAAGACUAAUCGAACCAUC